CAGUGUAAGCAGGUGAGUUGUGUUGAGGUUCCUAAGGCAGGCACUGAGGACUUUGAGGGCUCCAGACAGAGCAGACCUGGGAAGGCCCUCGUUGAAGCCCCUUGGAAACCUUCUAAGGGUAGGUGUGUAUGGUAAUAAGUGUUGGAGAAUGUCCUGAAUGUGGAACAGGAAUGCAGGGAAGGAAAAUGAACCCUCCUGUAAUGCUGCCAUAUCAGCUUCAGUGGAGAUACCUCUGUGUGCCCUUUUGGAGCUGAUUGCCAGGGCACCUGGUGGGCUGGAAUGAUUCAAGAGCAUGGGAAUACAAGAUUGCCUGGCUUCUGAAACUCACCAGUUGUGUCUCAGAGGUUCUUGUAUGAAAUUUUAGGUAACACCUGAACUUCUAGUGUGUACUUCUGAGUUCUGUUGGAAAGAGAUUGUCCAGGGAACAAGUAUCUUUCUCAUUCCAGGAAGUUGCACUUGAUGAACUUCCCCUCUGAGCUGAUGCCCUUGGCAGGAGAAGUGCUCAGCAAGGAGGCUCUUUGCUCCUAGGCAGGAAGAAAGGCCAGUGCCCUUCCUCCCCAAGGCCCAGCCCAGCAGGGCUGGCAGGAGCUGCUGGUGUGGCUGCUCUUUGGGUUCUCAGCUGUGGCUGUGGGGUGGUGACAUCGUGUUCCUGCCUGUGCUCCAGGGCAGCCAAAAGCCCCAGCCCAGCCCCUGGGCCUUUCUGGGAGCCUGAGCUAUUGCAGCACUGGGGAUGGCUUUGGUUUCCUUCUUUCCUCAGAGUAAAAGUGUCUGGGGGAGUCUGUGAUCUCCCUCGUUUUUGUAUCAUAACUGGAACUUGUAAAGAAGUUCACCUUGUGUAAUUUACCAACUGACUUGGCAGUGCCAGGCUGUUGUAGCAUGCAGGUUAUUGUUUGUGUCUGAGUAGUUUGGUGUUUAUUUGCCAAGGGAGGCUGUGGAAUGUUAUGGUAUUUUUGUCCCAAUAUUUGGAGGCAGUUCCCUGGAUUAGAUGAUUUCUGCGUUGCUCCCUGGUGUCUAAGUUGUGAGGUGUACUAAGAACUGGUAGUUUUUGCAGUGGGAUGUACCCUAGAAACUCCAUGGAGCUGAGCCAAGGGAUUUAGAGGGACUAAGCAAGCGAAGUAAAGAAAGAAUGAAGAAGGGAACUGAGAGAGCAGCCAAGCAGCACCAAGUUCCUCUACAACCAGGGAAUAACUCCUGUCAGCAGCAAGGUCCUGACUGAAGUGGCAGCUGCAGUUGUUCCUGUUGUGUGGGCCAGUGGACUUCCAGGAGGGUGGAAGAGGGCAGAACCUGACGUGAAUGCAAGAACCUGCCAAGGAACCAAUGACCAAGAUGAUUGAUGAGUGCAGGACCUGAGAGAAGCACCUUGAAUGACAACCUCGAGCAGUUUCCAGUAUUGGAUUGCAAAGAUGGCCUUUGCUGCAUCUCCUUGAGCAAGGAAAGCCAGGAUACCUUUGCUUUGGAAGGAGAAAAUGGGGAAAGCAGGAAGGAAGAAAAGCAGUCCCCUGACUCCUCCCUGAGCCCCAGACAGCCCAUGAACUGCCUUGCUGGGAAUGGUAGGACGGGGUGGACUCUGGAUUGCUCCCUCUGGAUGUGUGGUAAGACUGUUCUGCCAACUUUUAAGAAUAGCAUGUAAAGCAUUUGCUGCCUUGGCUAGAUGGUGCAAGGGCAGCCUUUAAGCAGCUGAAGCAUUCCCUGAGGAGAGCUCUGGGUCUGCCAUAUGUCUCAG
Molecule: long non-coding RNA, 1723 nt
Organism: Pseudopipra pipra
Lineage: Eukaryota; Metazoa; Chordata; Aves; Passeriformes; Pipridae
Exons: 3
Source: RefSeq, a predicted model, not a curated record